GACGAACGCUGGCGGCAGGCUUAACACAUGCAAGUCGAACGCAUCCUUCGGGGUGAGUGGCAGACGGGUGAGUAACACGUGGGAACGUACCUUUCGGUUCGGGAUAACCCAGGGAAACUUGGGCUAAUACCGGAUACGUCCUUUAGGGGAGGAAAGAUUGAUUGCCGAAAGAUCGGCCCGCGUCUGAUUAGCUAGUUGGUGGGGUAAUGGCCCACCAAGGCGACGAUCAGUAGCUGGUCUGAGAGGANGAUCAGCCACACUGGGACUGAGACACGGCCCAGACUCCUACGGGAGGCGAGCAGUGGGGAAGUAUUGGACAAUGGGCGGCAAGCCUGAUCCAGCCACGCCGCGUGAGUGAUGAAGGCCUUC
This 369-nucleotide ribosomal RNA is filed under the name uncultured bacterium. Its description in RNAcentral is "bacterial SSU rRNA". It matches the Rfam family "Bacterial small subunit ribosomal RNA", at positions 28 to 419 of the family's 1533-position model. The record is from RNAcentral.